AAAUUCCGUUUCGAAUCCUCUUUAAAUCUCUCAUUCUGUUUCGGUUUUCCCUAGACGAGCAAAAGCUAACUAAUUUCCGGCAACUAAAAUACUAGAGUACAGAUGACAGGAAAAAAAUGAGACUAUUGAAGAAGAAGAGUCGGCGCCGCUCGAAUGUAGUGACAAGUUCAGCGGAGAGGCAAGCGAAUACUGAUUUCAAUUUUUAUUGGGUAAGUAUCUGUAAACACUGAAUUCAAUUUUCAUUAGGGGAUGGGGAUUCAGGAUUUGAAAUCUGGGGAUAUUGAUUUUGAAUCGAAGAUUUGAUCCCAAAGGUGUGUUAUAGCUUAUGGAUUUUCAAAUUAAAUUGAAUUUUCCGCCAGAAUAAAGUAAUUUAGAAGAUUUAUGUACAAAUUUGUGUACAUACGCGAAUUUGGAGUUAUGCUUAUGUCUAAUUUAAGUGUUUUCGAUAAAAACCGUAUAUAAUUAAUGGGCUAUUGGGGUUUAUUCGUUAUUGUGUUCAUAUGUUAGAUUAGUUAUGGAGAUUAUAAUCUGAAAUAUUUCUAUUACACAUAACUUGCAGGAAGCAUGAAUCUGAUUGAAGAAGGUAAUGUUGGUGAAGGAUCUGAAGAGUUACCGCUGAGGUAUGUUAAGUUCUUUCUAAGUAGUCCAGAAAUAUUCAGAUUGGAACAAGAAGAUCUUCUUGGCUGAAGAAUAUGAAUACCUCAGAAUACAAUGAGAUGACUAUGCUUCGGCUCUAAGUUUUACUUUAUUUCUUAAGAAUCUACUCUACUUCUCGAUUUAGAUCUAUGCUUUGAAUU
RNAcentral lists this long non-coding RNA (797 nucleotides) under Arabidopsis lyrata. Its description in RNAcentral is "long non-coding RNA (ALYR_LNC002688)". The record is from RNAcentral. Lineage: Eukaryota; Viridiplantae; Streptophyta; Magnoliopsida; Brassicales; Brassicaceae.